CCACAAGGAAAGCGCCGCAUGGAAAUCGCGUAACGUGGUCCGAUGUGUGCGGCGGCGCCGGUGCCCACGGCGACGCAGUGCAGGAGACAGCUUGCCGGCGCAGGGGAGACCACCAAGGACGAGGGUGGAAAAGCACCAACAACCAAAAAAAAAGAACGGUUUGCUAACAUUCUGAUGUUGGCGCACGUCCGUUCUGGAGUCUAGCAUGCACAAGCCUUCGUAGCAAGCGCCGUUAGUUAGCCGAGUGUGCGGUUUUCGCUCCUUGCAGUGGAACUGCGGCUGCUUGUCGUGCUACCACAGCUACUACUCGCCUGCUUGCCUCGAUGAAGUGUGCGUUUGUGCUUGCAUGCGCGUUCUCCGUAGCUGUUUAGAACUUGAUCGUCUUGCUGCGAACGCGGACACGGCGGCGCAACCAUAAAAACACCUCUAUUGCAACGAAGAUCAUGUGAGUAGUGUUGCGGAUAGUCGUGGCAGCCUAUACCGUUGGAAUUGUGUCAACCGAUCAAAGACAACGGUGGUGAGCUGUCUCUUACUAUGCAGCCUCUGCCACUGGGACUGACCUGCGCAUUUCACUUUUACGCAACUCGCAUGGUCCCUCUCGAACAGCGUCUCUUCAUAGGCUUUUGCGCGCCCGAGGGAUUUUCUGAGCAGCUAUGCCCUCAGCACUGGGAGAGAAUCAACCUCCACUUUCCCUUCCCAACGACCACCGCACAAUCAACGUCUCACUAUUGCAAG
RNAcentral lists this unclassified non-coding RNA (735 nucleotides) under Leishmania donovani. RNAcentral's name for it is "gene:unknown". Lineage: Eukaryota; Euglenozoa; Kinetoplastea; Trypanosomatida; Trypanosomatidae. The record is from RNAcentral.